RNAcentral lists this ribosomal RNA (465 nucleotides) under Vreelandella stevensii. RNAcentral describes it as "partial 16S ribosomal RNA". It matches the Rfam family "Bacterial small subunit ribosomal RNA", at positions 338 to 795 of the family's 1533-position model. Lineage: Bacteria; Pseudomonadati; Pseudomonadota; Gammaproteobacteria; Oceanospirillales; Halomonadaceae. The record is from RNAcentral.
CCUACGGGUGGCAGCAGUGGGGAAUAUUGGACAAUGGGGGCAACCCUGAUCCAGCCAUGCCGCGUGUGUGAAGAAGGCCCUCGGGUUGUAAAGCACUUUCAGUGAGGAAGAACGCCUGGUGGUUAAUACCCAUCAGGAAAGACAUCACUCACAGAAGAAGCACCGGCUAACUCCGUGCCAGCAGCCGCGGUAAUACGGAGGGUGCGAGCGUUAAUCGGAAUUACUGGGCGUAAAGCGCGCGUAGGUGGCUUGAUAAGCCGGGUGUGAAAGCCCCGGGCUCAACCUGGGAACGGCAUCCGGAACUGUCAAGCUAGAGUGCAGGAGAGGAAGGUAGAAUUCCCGGUGUAGCGGUGAAAUGCGUAGAGAUCGGGAGGAAUACCAGUGGCGAAGGCGGCCUUCUGGACUGACACUGACACUGAGGUGCGAAAGCGUGGGUAGCAAACAGGAUUAGAUACCCCUGUAGUC